This is a long non-coding RNA of Lemur catta (Ring-tailed lemur), 418 nucleotides long. RefSeq lists it as uncharacterized. The transcript has 2 exons. NCBI's taxonomy places the organism in Eukaryota, Metazoa, Chordata, Mammalia, Primates, Lemuridae. The record is from RefSeq and is a predicted model, not a curated record.
UUUUUCAUCUCAGACAAGGUAGUUUUCAUCUACCUCAGUGCCUGACCAGGAGGCCAGUCAGCCCGGAUGCCCCUCUUCAAAGAAGAAAUCACAAGAAAAAUUAGCAAAUAGUUCAAAUAUUAGUCAAAAUACAUAAAAUUUGUGGCAUCAUGUUAAAGGAAGAUUUGUCACUUGAAAUACAAAAGAUACUUCAAAAAGAAAGUAUACAAAUGGCCUAUAAGCUCAUGAACAGCCGUUCGACUCUGGCCACUGAGGAAACGCAAACUGAAGCUGACAGGCCCCGGCCCGGGUCAGUCGCAGGCGGCGGGGCCUCCGUGGGGGGCCGGGGUCUGUGCAAGGGGCUGCUGCAUAUUUCCCGAGCAGCUGCGUCCAGCGCAGCUCCGUGGGGGAAAAUAAACACAACUUCUCCAGGCCAGGC